GGGCGAUUAGCUCAGUUGGUUAGAGCGCCUGCUUUACACGCAGGAGGCCGUAGGUUCAAGUCCUUCAUCGCCCA
Molecule: transfer RNA, 74 nt
Filed under: Chloroflexota bacterium
Lineage: Bacteria; Bacillati; Chloroflexota
Description: Chloroflexi bacterium (groundwater metagenome) tRNA-Val
Rfam family: tRNA
About the family: Transfer RNA (tRNA) molecules are approximately 80 nucleotides in length.
Source: RNAcentral